GCCGGUGGAUUUUUAGCCCUGGUGGGUAGCUUCCCGGAAACGAAAGUCUUCCGGUUCCGGGGGAAGUAUGGUUGCAAAGCUGAAACUUAAAGGAAUUGACGGAAGGGCACCACCAGGAGUGGAGCCUGCGGCUUAAUUUGACUCAACACGGGGAAACUCACCCGGCCCGGACACCGUAAGGAUUGACAGAUUGAUAGCUCUUUCAUGAUUCGGUGGUUGGUGGUGCAUGGCCGUUCUUAGUUCGUGGAUCGAUUUGUCUGGUUUAUUCCGAUAACGAGCGAGACUCUAGCCUACUAAAUAGUAACGAGAUUAUCAAUGUCUCAGUUGCUUCUUAGAGGGAUUUUCGGUGUUUAGCCGCACGAGAUUGAGCAAUAACAGGUCUGUGAUGCCCUUAGAUGUCCGGGGCUGCACGCGCGCUACACUGGCGAAAUCAGCGUGCUGUAUCCAUUCUCGAAAGGGAUUGGUAAACCCAUGAAAAUUUGCCGUGCUUGGGAUCGGAAAUUGCAAUUAUUUUCCGUGAACGAGGAAUUCCAAGUAAGUGCGAGUCAUCAACUCGCUCUGAUUACGUC
Molecule: ribosomal RNA, 569 nt
Filed under: Acrobeloides sp. MHb35
Lineage: Eukaryota; Metazoa; Nematoda; Chromadorea; Rhabditida; Cephalobidae
Description: SSU rRNA
Rfam family: Eukaryotic small subunit ribosomal RNA
Source: RNAcentral